Molecule: ribosomal RNA, 255 nt
Filed under: uncultured bacterium
Lineage: Bacteria
Description: partial 16S ribosomal RNA
Rfam family: Bacterial small subunit ribosomal RNA
Source: RNAcentral
GACGAACCGUGCGAACGUUGUUCGGAAUCACUGGGCUUAAAGGGCGCGUAGGCGGGCAGGCAAGUCAGGGGUGAAAGCCCACGGCUCAACCGUGGAAGUGCCUUUGAUAACUGCUUGUCUGGAGGGGGAUAGGGGCGUGCGGAACUUCCGGUGGAGCGGUGAAAUGCGUAGAUAUCGGAAGGAACACCGGUGGCGAAAGCGGCGCGCUGGAUCCCUACUGACGCUGAGGCGCGAAAGCCAGGGGAGCAAAGCGGG